AUUAAGCUGAAUCCAGCCCAGGAGCGGGGGAACCAAGUUUUUUGGGGCGAACUUCACGAUUACAUUAUUUGACAGUGUAAGGAAUGGAGCGGGUGGUCUUCUCUACCCGAGCCCGGCAGCUAACCUCGUAAGCGAACAGAGAGAGGA
Molecule: small RNA, 147 nt
Filed under: uncultured Selenomonas sp.
Lineage: Bacteria; Bacillati; Bacillota; Negativicutes; Selenomonadales; Selenomonadaceae
Description: ydaO/yuaA leader
Rfam family: c-di-AMP riboswitch aptamer (ydaO/yuaA leader)
About the family: This family represents a conserved RNA structure found upstream of the ydaO and yuaA genes in Bacillus subtilis and related genes in other bacteria. The ydaO/yuaA element is thought to act as a genetic "off" switch for the ydaO and yuaA genes in its native state.
Source: RNAcentral